GGCUACCGCUAUUGGAGUCCGAUUAAGACAUGCGAGUCGAGAGCUUUCGGAGCUCGGCAUACUGCUCAGUAACACGUGGGUAACCUGCCCUGUGCUGGGGGAUAACCUCGGGAAACUGAGAACAAUACCCCAUAGUCCACUACGCCUGGAACGGUGAGUGGAUGAAAGCCCCGGCGGCACAGGAUGGGCCUGCGGCGUAUCAGGUAGUAGGGGGUGUAAAGUACCCUCUAGCCUUCGACGCGUACGGGUUGUGAGAGCAAUAGCCCGGAGAUGGAUUCUGAGACACGAAUCCAGGUCCUACGGGACGCAGCAGUCGCGAAACCUUGACAAUGCGGGAAACCGUGAUCAGGGGACUCCAAGUGCCAGGAGUAAGAUCCUGUGCUUUUCUUUUCUCUUCAAAGGAUUUGGAAUAAGAGGUGGGUAAGGACGGUGCCAGCCGCCGCGGUAAUACCGGCGCCUCGAGUGGUAGUCGAUUUUAUUGGGCCUAAAACGUCCGUCGCCGGUCUGGUGCAUUCGUGGGUAAAUCAACCCGCUCAACGGGUUGAAUUCUGCGAGCACGGCCAGACUAGGGACCGGGAGAGGUGUGGGGUACGCUCGGGGUAGGGGUAAAAUCCUGUCAUCCCGAGCGGACCACCUGUUGCGAAGGCUCCACACUAGAACGGAUCCGACGGUCAGGGACGAAGCCUAGGGGCACGAACCGGAUUAGAUACCCGGGUAGUCCUAGGUGUAAACGCUGUGGACUUGGUGUUGGGAGCUCCCAGAGGGCUCUCAGUGCCGUAGCGAAGGUGAUAAGUCCACUGCCUGGGGAGUACGGUCGCAAGGCUGAAACUUAAAGGAAUUGGCGGGGGAACACCGCAACCUGAGGAUUGUGCGGUUU
Molecule: ribosomal RNA, 877 nt
Filed under: uncultured archaeon
Lineage: Archaea
Description: bacterial SSU rRNA
Rfam family: Archaeal small subunit ribosomal RNA
Source: RNAcentral